GAACGCUAGCUACAGGCUUAACACAUGCAAGUCGAGGGGCAGCAUGAACUUAGCUUGCUAAGUUUGAUGGCGACCGGCGCACGGGUGAGUAACACGUAUCCAACCUUCCGUUUACUCAGGGAUAGCCUUUCGAAAGAAAGAUUAAUACCUGAUGGUAUGAUGAGAUUGCAUGAUAGCAUCAUUAAAGAUUUAUCGGUGUACGAUGGGGAUGCGUUCCAUUAGGUAGUAGGCGGGGUAACGGCCCACCUAGCCAACGAUGGAUAGGGGUUCUGAGAGGAAGGUCCCCCACAUUGGAACUGAGACACGGUCCAAACUCCUACGGGAGGCAGCAGUGAGGAAUAUUGGUCAAUGGACGAGAGUCUGAACCAGCCAAGUAGCGUGAAGGAUGAAGGUCCUACGGAUUGUAAACUUCUUUUAUAAGGGAAUAAACCCUCCCACGUGUGGGAGCUUGUAUGUACCUUAUGAAUAAGCAUCGGCUAACUCCGUG
Molecule: ribosomal RNA, 487 nt
Filed under: uncultured bacterium
Lineage: Bacteria
Description: bacterial SSU rRNA
Rfam family: Bacterial small subunit ribosomal RNA
Source: RNAcentral